CUUGACAUUCUAUUAUAAACUAGAAUUGGUAUUAGAUGAUUUUGCCCUACUGUGGGCUAAUGUAAGUGUUCUGAGCUCAUUUUAGGUAGACUAGGCUAAGUUGUAGUGUUUGGUAGAUGAAAUAUAUUAAAUGUAUUUUUACUUGUAAUUUUUUUUAAACAUAAUGAUGUUUUUUUUUCAAAAAUAUAACCCCAUGGUAAGUGGAGAAGCAGCUGUAUACUGUCAGAGAUUCUGUAUCAGAAACAGGUCCAAGAUGGUUCCCAAAUAGAAGGGUCCCCAGAUCUGUGCCUGCUGUCACCUAAAGCAAUGAAGACAAUGAACCAAGUGUCACAGGGAUGAGGCAACGGAGAGGUGGAUCUUACUGGACAUUAUUAUACACAAUGGGUUUGUGUCACAGCUGAGUAACCCUGAGUUUAGGAAACCCCCAAUCUUAUAAAAGGGCUCAUAGAAAACCUGUUCAAACUUUGUAGUUGUCUUGGCCAAGAACCAAAUCUGCCCUCCAAAAAGAAAGCGCUGUCUCUAUUCUCCCAGACUGUUCAUUAUACAAAUAUCCUUGAAAAGACAGUAUGAAACAAAAGCAGUCACUGCCUUUGUGCAGAAGAUGGGGGUGGCAUUCAUAGAGACUCACCUCCAACCCACCCAACAUUAAACUCUUAGCUUUCUGGAAUCCAUUAGAUAAAAGAAUGAAUUAGAAAAACUGGAUAGGAAUGUUGGCUCCUUAUCGAUCCACAAUAUUACAAAUAACAUUCUCACCCUUGCUACAGUUCACCUUGUCUGAG
Molecule: long non-coding RNA, 779 nt
Filed under: Marmota monax (woodchuck)
Lineage: Eukaryota; Metazoa; Chordata; Mammalia; Rodentia; Sciuridae
Source: RNAcentral